This 774-nucleotide ribosomal RNA is filed under the name uncultured Neocallimastigales. RNAcentral describes it as "partial large subunit ribosomal RNA". It matches the Rfam family "Eukaryotic large subunit ribosomal RNA", at positions 23 to 644 of the family's 3401-position model. The record is from RNAcentral. Lineage: Eukaryota; Fungi; Neocallimastigomycota; Neocallimastigomycetes; Neocallimastigales.
AGAGAGAGACAUGCGCGCAUAUCAAUAAGCGGAGGAAAAGAAACUGACUAGGAUUCCCUCAGUAACGGCGAGUGAAGCGGGAAGAGCUCAAAUUUGAGAUCUUCAAGGUUCUACCUUGACGAAUUGUAGUUUAAAGAAGUGUUUUCUGUUGGAGUUUUGGUAAAAGUUCUUUGGAAUAGGACAUCAUAGAGGGUGAGAAUCCCGUAUUUGACCAUUAUUUCCAACUUUGUGAUACACUUUCAACGAGUCGGAUUGUUUGGGAAUGCAGUCCAAAAUGGGUGGUAAAUUUCAUCUAAAGCUAAAUAUUGGCGAGAGACCGAUAGCGAACAAGUACCGUGAGGGAAAGACGAAAAGAACUUUGAAAAGAGAGUUAAACAGUACGUGAAAUUGUCAAAAGGGAAGCGUUUGACACCAGUGUUGUUUUUCCGAAAAUCAAUUACGAAUGUUUUGUUUUUGAGGAGUUAUGACUUCAUCGGCUUGCUCCUUUCUUUACGAAACUUUCUUAAUGCACUUUUCGGUUAACAAGUCAACAUCAAUUUCCUUUGUUGUAAAAGGGUAUGAGGAAGGUGGCUUUCUUUUCGGAGAAAGUGUUUAUAGCCUUGUGCCUCUGCAAUCGGAGAGAUUGAGGUCUGCAGCGUAGAUCCUUCGGGGUUAGAUACGUUUGUGCUAAGUUAUAGCUUUUCAUAGACAACUUGUUGACUAUGUUUAGUCUUGUAGCUUACUCGCUGACGCUAUUUUACCUACGCUUAGGAUGUUGAUAGUCACAGCGUGUAC